AGAGUUUGAUCAUGGCUCAGGAUGAACGCUGGCGGCGUGCCUAAUACAUGCAAGUCGAACGAGGUGCUUUUGUAGCAAUACGAGAGUAUCCUAGUGGCGAACGGGUGAGUAACGCGUUGGUGACCUACCCCAAAGUGUGGGAUAACAGUCCGAAAGGAUUGCUAAUACCGCAUGUGGUUAUUGGAUUUAGAAACCGGUAACUAAAGGAGCAAUUCGCUUUGGGAGGGACCUGCGUCCCAUCAGCUAGUUGGUGAGGUAAUGGCUCACCAAGGCGACGACGGGUAGGGGACCUGAGAGGGUGACCCCCCACAAUGGAACUGAAACACGGUCCAUACACCUACGGGUGGCAGCAGUAGGGAAUAUUGCUCAAUGGGCGAAAGCCUGAAGCAGCAACGCCGCGUGUGUGAUGAAGGCCUUCGGGUCGUAAAGCACUUUUCUGGGAGAUGAGAAAGGACAGUAUCCCAGGAAUAAGUCUCGGCUAACUACGUGCCAGCCGCCGCGGUAAUAC
RNAcentral lists this ribosomal RNA (508 nucleotides) under uncultured bacterium. RNAcentral's name for it is "bacterial SSU rRNA". It matches the Rfam family "Bacterial small subunit ribosomal RNA", at positions 8 to 526 of the family's 1533-position model. The record is from RNAcentral.